CGGGAAUAUUGCGCAAUGGAGGAAACUCUGACGCAGUGACGCCGCGUAUAGGAAGAAGGUUUUCGGAUUGUAAACUAUUGUCGUUAGGGAAGAUAAAAGACAGUACCUAAGGAGGAAGCUCCGGCUAACUACGUGCCAGCAGCCGCGGUAAUACGUAGGGAGCAAGCGUUAUCCGGAUUUAUUGGGUGUAAAGGGUGCGUAGACGGGUUAGCAAGUUAGUUGUGAAAGCCCUCGGCUUAACUGAGGAACUGCAACUAAAACUGUUAAUCUUGAGUGUUGGAGAGGAAAGUGGAAUUCCUAGUGUAGCGGUGAAAUGCGUAGAUAUUAGGAGGAACACCGGUGGCGAAGGCGACUUUCUGGACAAUAACUGACGUUGAGGCACGAAAGUGAGGGGAGCAAAC
RNAcentral lists this ribosomal RNA (401 nucleotides) under uncultured bacterium. Its description in RNAcentral is "bacterial SSU rRNA". It matches the Rfam family "Bacterial small subunit ribosomal RNA", at positions 356 to 773 of the family's 1533-position model. The record is from RNAcentral.